Molecule: ribosomal RNA, 467 nt
Filed under: uncultured haloarchaeon
Lineage: Archaea; Methanobacteriati; Methanobacteriota; Halobacteria; Halobacteriales; Halobacteriaceae
Description: bacterial SSU rRNA
Rfam family: Archaeal small subunit ribosomal RNA
Source: RNAcentral
CUGCACGGAAGUGCGAUAGGGGAAUCCCAAGUGCGAGGGCAUAUUAGCCCUCGCUUUUGUUGACUGUAAGGUGGUCGACGAAUAAGAGCUGGGCAAGACCGGUGCCAGCCGCCGCGGUAAUACCGGCAGCUCAAGUGAUGUCCCAUAUUAUUGGGCCUAAAGCGUCCGUAGCUGGCCGACCAAGUCUCCCGGGAAAUCCACCCGCCCAACGGGUGGGCGUCCGGUAGAAACUGGCCGGCUUGGAACCGGAAGGCUCAGAGAGUACGUCCGGGGUAGGAGUGAAAUCCCGUAAUCCCGGACGGACUACCGAUGGCGAAAGCACUCUGAGAAGACGGCUUCGACAGUGAGGGACGAAAGCUCGGGUCUCAAACCGGAUUAGAUACCCGGGUAGUCCGAGCUGUAAACGAUGCUCGUUAGGUGUGGCACCCACUACGAGUGGGUGCUGCGCCGCAGGGAAGCCGCUAAAC